This 253-nucleotide ribosomal RNA is filed under the name uncultured bacterium. RNAcentral's name for it is "partial 16S ribosomal RNA". It matches the Rfam family "Bacterial small subunit ribosomal RNA", at positions 524 to 776 of the family's 1533-position model. The record is from RNAcentral.
UACGGAGGGGGCUAGCGUUGUUCGGAAUUACUGGGCGUAAAGCGCGUGUAGGCUGUUCUGCAAGUCGGGUGUGAAAGCCCCGGGCUCAACCUGGGAAGUGCACUCGAAACUGCAGAACUCGAGUCCUGGAGAGGAAGGCGGAAUUCUCGGUGUAGAGGUGAAAUUCGUAGAUAUCGAGAGGAACGGCGCGGGCGAAUGCGGCCUUCUGGACAGUGACUGACGCUGAGACGCGAAAGCGUGGGGAGCAAACAGG